Sinocyclocheilus grahami is the source of this 291-nucleotide long non-coding RNA. RefSeq lists it as uncharacterized. The record is from RefSeq and is a predicted model, not a curated record. Lineage: Eukaryota; Metazoa; Chordata; Actinopteri; Cypriniformes; Cyprinidae. The transcript is spliced from 4 exons.
GUGGUGAUUUAAUUGUGGAGUGGAGAGUUUAAUACAUGUUCUGCUGCAGUGUUUCGCUCUGAAGUCCCUCUGAAGCGUCGCUGCCAUUGAGCCUACGUGUGCAGUGUGCAGUGUGUGAACAGUUCGCUGGAACAGAGCUCUAAACAACACAGAAACAGGAUGAGGGCCACGAACGAACUCAAAUCCUCCGUGAAGUAACAUCUCAUCAUCAUCUCAUCACACUGACGUCAGCGCAGAUAGAGUUCAAAACAAACAUUUGGUCAUAUCUGCUAAUGUCCUGAGUUCAGUCCU